UAAAUUUAUUUAUGUGACAUUUUAAUGGUGUAAAGGAAUUGAAUUUAACAAUAAAUUUUAAUGGUGUUAACAAUUUUAAAUUUUACAUCAAUUUUUUUAAAAUAAGAUACAAUAGGCAUAUUGCAAUUUGAGUCCUCUUACUAUUUAGUAUUAUAAUUUAAUAUUUUUUCCGCAUAAAAUUUUUAAGUUUGGCCCAACAAUUUAUAUUCUUAUAUUAGCCCUCAAUCGAAGCCAUGUGACUCACGGUCUAAAAAUAAUUUUUUUAAAAAAAUCUGAUUUCAAACUUUUUUCUCAUAGUCGUUUGCUUCUUUAUUAUUUUACCCAACGACUGUGCUAACUUCUGAGUUGGCUACUACCUAUUUUUUUGUCCCUCCCACCAACUUUUUUUUCUCCUCGUUUACUCUACGUGUUUUCUCCCUUUUUAGUUUGUAGAUUUAUUUUGUAGGUGCCUUUAUUGUUUUCACAAGUCAUGAUGGACAGAUGACGAUGCUUGUCAUCUCUAAAACUCCACCGACCACCAGCGGUUUCUCUUGAAAAGUGGUUUGGUGGAUGCUCAGUUCUUUUGUCAAUUUUGCCAGCCCACUGCCUUUGGACCAUCCAGGGCUGAUUUUCUUCUUGUGAUAGUUGAUUGCAAUCACUCUAGAUAUGUCGUGCUUGAAUUGUGACAAAAUCGAUUUUCAAUGUAUUGUAAUAUUUUGUUGAUAUUAAGACUUGCGAUGAGCGUUUAUUGUUUUUUUUUUACCUAAAUUAUAGAUCUCAUUUAUGAAGUGAAUUAAUAAAUUUUCUCCUAA
Molecule: long non-coding RNA, 791 nt
Organism: Gossypium raimondii (Peruvian cotton)
Lineage: Eukaryota; Viridiplantae; Streptophyta; Magnoliopsida; Malvales; Malvaceae
Exons: 2
Source: RefSeq, a predicted model, not a curated record